CUUGGGGCUAUAGCUCAGUUGCAGAGCACCUGCUUUGCAUGCAGAAGGUCCCAGAUUCAAUCUUCUGCGUCUCCAAGA
Non-coding RNA from Podarcis lilfordi (Lilford's wall lizard), 78 nucleotides. The record is from the annotation of a GenBank genome assembly. NCBI's taxonomy places the organism in Eukaryota, Metazoa, Chordata, Lepidosauria, Squamata, Lacertidae.